This 792-nucleotide long non-coding RNA is filed under the name Olea europaea (common olive). RNAcentral describes it as "long non-coding RNA (OEUR_LNC007138)". The record is from RNAcentral. Lineage: Eukaryota; Viridiplantae; Streptophyta; Magnoliopsida; Lamiales; Oleaceae.
CGAUUUGGACAUUUUGCAGGGUCUCGAAAGGGCAAAGAAUAAGUUGGAAUCAAGAGUGGCUUUACCUUCCCUAGGUGAAAGUGCAACUGUUCCCCCUUUUGAAUGGAGUUCGAGCUUCUGAUGAGUUUAAACCUUGAGGAAAGGCCGGGAAAGUCUUGCAGUCGCUUAUUUACGAUGACAUCUCGCAUCCACUCGUCUUUGCAAUUGCUGCUGUUGGCGUUUGUUUUGGAAUAUGUGCAGUUGUUCUCCACCCUCAGAAGGUCAGUGAGCUUGCUACCACUAUUGCAAGGUGUUUGUUCGACGACUCCUAGUGCAGUUCUGGUACACAGUGGCCGACCAUACUAGACCGUAUAAUAAACACGUUUUUUGCUUCUUCUUUUUUCGUCCUUAAUAUUGUUCACUAUUAUACAACCUACCUUGCCAAACAAGUUGCAUAGAUUGAGGCAGCUUUGUUGAAUUCGUCUGUGUUUGAGCAAAAAGUUACGGGGAAGAUGCAUGUGAACACGUGUUUAUGACAUGAAAUAUUAUCGGCCUCGGAGUGACCUUGUAUAUAUCUUCCAUAUUAAGAUAAUGUAACGGUUUAUGGCGCACUGGUUCUUUGUACAAGAGAAUUAGAUUUGGGUUCAUGAGAUGAAAAUGAUAAAUAUUGUCUUCUCUCAAGAAGUAUAUGUAAUCCUUUUCUUAGCAAUUGGUGGUUUAAUUGAGUGAUCUGACAUAAAUGAAAUGACUUUUAUUGGUUGAAAAUCUAUUAAUUUUGAGAGAAAUGUCGUUCGGUUUGGCCAUGUUUGGUGC